UGCAAAUGAUGAAUUUAUGUUGCCCCGAGAUCCAAUCGUGUGGGUCAAAUGAGCUUUUUAACUCUGAUGCUU
This 72-nucleotide small nucleolar RNA is filed under the name Pristionchus pacificus. Lineage: Eukaryota; Metazoa; Nematoda; Chromadorea; Rhabditida; Neodiplogasteridae. The record is from RNAcentral.